Homo sapiens (human) is the source of this 799-nucleotide long non-coding RNA. The record is from Ensembl. NCBI's taxonomy places the organism in Eukaryota, Metazoa, Chordata, Mammalia, Primates, Hominidae.
GCUGCUGGGGCUGGAGCCGCGCUGCUCAGACCCUGGCUGCCUUUGCCGCCUGCACCGCCACUGACUCGACCCCUCGUCCGAGAUUGAUUGGGCUGCUUGGAGGCCCCUCGCGGUCACUGCCACCAGCCCCUGAUCUUCGGGUUUCAUCGCGAGUCCCCGUCCUUGCCUGCAGCCCCUGGAUUCUCGCCGGCCCAGCCACAUCGUCCACCCUCCCCGAGCCUCUGGCGGCGCCUCCCGGGACCAGCGGGGGCCCACGCUGGAGGCUGCCUGGGCCAUUCUGACGCACCAGCCUGAGGGAACAUUCCCUGGCCUCCCGCCCCUCCUUUCCCCUGCCUAGAGCUGGCCUGCGUGUCCCAGAACUGGGCUUCUCCCGCCUCACCUGCUCCCCACCGCACUCCAGAUCGCUGCGGGCGCGGCUUCCUCGCCCUGGAGCACUCUUCCUCUCCCUCCGCAUUUUCCCUGUAAUUCACACUGCCCUUCAGGCCCUGCCUGGCCCUGUGCAUGUGGGGUGCCUGUUUCCCCUUCCCGAAGGGCGCCCUCCCAUCCGGUUGUCUAACUGUGUCCUCGGACCCAAGCUCCCAGAGGGCAGAGCCUGGGUCUGUGGCUCACGCCUGUGUCCCCUCCACAGGGCCUGGAUGGGAGAAUCGUUGGUCACUGCUGAAGGAAGAAAGGGAGGAAGGGAGAUGAGAGGGAAGGAAAGACAAAUGUACUUAUGACUGCGUCUUUUCCUCCACUUGGGACUUUUUGUUCCAAUGUCCCUAGUCUCAGCCAUGGGAAAGAAGAUGGGGACCCAGAGCGC